AUGGCGCUGGAGGCCGUCGAGUUCUCGCAAGGCCACUUCGGCUACGGCCAGGCUCCGGGGCUCGGGCCCUGGUGCGACAUGGUAGGCGCCGGCGGGUUCUUUGAGGACUGCUGGGAUCAGCAGCUUUUGGCCGCCCCCGUGGCGCCCAAUGCGGAGGAUCAGUGGGAGCCGGUCUCCAGCUGGGACCAGUCUGAGGCGUCCUCGGAGGGCAAGGCGGCGGCGCCGGAGCCGGCCAUGGCAGCGGCGGCGACGGGGAGGAGGAAGCGGAGGCGCACCAAGAUCGUCAAGAACAAGGAGGAGGUGGAGAGCCAGCGGAGGACCCACAUUGCCGUGGAGCGCAACCGCCGCCGCCAGAUGAACGAGUACCUCGCCGCGCUCCGCUCACUCAUGCCACAAUCCUACGCUCAAAGGGGCGACCAAGCAUCCAUCGUUGGUGGGGCAAUCAACUACGUGAAGGAGCUGGAGCAGCUCCUCCAAUCGCUCGAAGUCCAAAAAAGCGUCAAGAACCGCACCGGCCGGUCCCCGUUCGCCAGCUCCUUCACCUUCCCACAGUACUCCACCUCGUGUAAUGCCACGCAGGCCACCGCCAGCGACGGCGGCUCCGGUGCCGAUUCGAGCGGCGACAAGAGCGAGGCGGGCGUGGCCGACAUCGAGGUGACCAUGGUGGAAGGCCACGCGAGCCUCAAGGUGCUGUCCCGGCGGCGGCCGAAGCAGCUCCUGAGGCUUGUCGCCGGGCUGCAGCAGCUGCGCAUCCCGCCGCUCCAUCUCAACGUGACCACCGUCGACGCCAUGGUCCUGUAUUCCUUCAGCCUUAAGGUGGAGGAUGGCUCCAAGCUGGGCUCUGUGGAAGAUAUUGCGGCCGCUGUGCAUGAGAUCCUGGCCAGGAUACAGCGGGAGGAGGAGGAGGCCGGUCGACUCAGCAGCUCGAGCUGA
This 933-nucleotide ribosomal RNA is filed under the name Triticum aestivum (bread wheat). Its description in RNAcentral is "partial small subunit ribosomal RNA". Lineage: Eukaryota; Viridiplantae; Streptophyta; Magnoliopsida; Poales; Poaceae. The record is from RNAcentral.